UUCAGUUACAUCGGAAAAAUGAAAAAUAAAAAAGUAAAAACUCAAAACAAUUAAAAACGAUUCAGUUAAAAACCAACUGCCACAUAAUAGAAGAACUUGCGGACCUCGUGGAAUGCCGAGCUGUUUUGAAAAUGACAAAAACAACACAUUUACAUAGCAUUACAUUUGUGAAACACGAACCCGCGCACUGUCAAGGCGACAGACUGUGAAAUCAUACGGUUGUUUUCAGCAUGAGAGAAGAAAAAAGCGUUUCAAAGUUAACUUCAAAACGCACAAAUCCGUAUUCGUCUUCACGGCAAAAAAAAAUGUAUAAAAAUUCAACAAUAUGUUGAAAAAAAUUCCGAAAAGUUACUGCAAUGCAAUUCGAAAUGCAAAUGAAAGUGUAAAAACAUUUAACUCAAUUAUUUGUAAACAUGAAAAUAUCUACAUACAUCUGUAUGUAUGUAAGUAAAGUCACAAAGUAAUUAUCAUAAAUUAAGUAAAUAUAGAAAAAUUACUAGCUAAUUGACUAAAAAAAUGUUUCGGUUUGUCAAAUGUUCGUAAUAAACACUAUUUCAAGUGUACGUAAGUGCGAAAGAUGUGGCAUAGCAAACAAAAAAAAAUUAAUUAACAGAAAUUUAGCAUAAAUGUAAAAUGCACAACAAGUAUUUAUAGCACACAAAAAUUAGGCGAAAUUUUGCAGAACAAAAAUAUCAACUUCAAAUCUUCGGUAACAAAAUCUACAAUAAUCGCAACAAGGUUUAUUUCCAAUAAUUACAAUAAUAUAAACAUCAGAACCCAAAAACAAAACUGCCAACAAGAAUAAAUAUAGAAUUUAUUUCCUUUGAACAUUAGUGUUCACGUUACACAUUCGUUAGCAAAACAAAACAUAAGGAAAUGGAAUAACACAAAAUUAAAAAGAAAAUAAUAUGAAGUAGCAGAAAUUGAAGAUAAGAACAACAUAUUAAAACACAACUCAAAAAGCCGAAAUUCUCCGCCUCAACUUUAAGGAGAUUGUGAGAUAAGUGAAAACCAAACCAACUAAAUUUGAAAACACCAUAAAAUCAUCGGUAAUCGUCGCCAACAAUUGCAAAUACAAAUGCCUAAAUCUACGCUUGCAAUAACCAAAACAACAAAAACUAAAGACACAGAAAGCGAAAAAUCAGCGGAAAAUAUUUCAAAAAAAAUAACAAAAAAUAAAAAUACGAAAACAAUAACAGCAAACAAGUUAGUUAACAAACGCUUUUUAACCGCCACCGCCGCCAUUGACGACUCAGUUGCAACACAACAACAAGUGUACUACAUUGAACGCACACUUGCAACAUUGCCACAUACACGUGGCAAGCAGAGUCGCAGCCGAAGUAAACGAAAGGGGAGCGUUAGGAUAAACGAAAGCUUUGACAACAACAGCAACAACAAAAACCGCAAUCACCACAAAAGCAGCAAUAGACACAUUUGCUGUCGCAGAUAACAAUCCGGGGCAAGCACACACACACAUCGUCAGAGCCCGUCCGCCGAAGGGUACAUAAUAGAACGACGAGCCGAAGGUCGAGGGCGAAGUUUAAAUUAAAGUUGCCUUCAGCACAAUCUUACUUUUUUUUUUUUUUGAUUUUUGGGACGCAAUUAAAACGCUGCUGCAAUUACGACUGCCAACAAACUGCAACAACUACAAUGAAGGCAACAACUCUGCUUACACUAAGCUAGUUACGAUAUCAAUGACACCAACAACAACAUUAAGUGCAGUAACAAGAAUAAUAACAACAGCAACAUCGCUAAUACCGUUUACAACGCAAACAACUUCCGCAUUGUUGUCCGUGGUCAGCUAGAGCUCGACGCAAUUCACAAAACUCCGCCUCAAACUGCCUGUCAUCAUCACCCUCCGCCACCACUCUACUGAAGACCUCAACCAAUUUGAGUCUUCCACGUGCCUCAUCGGGCACAAAAGACGCAGUGGCAUCAACAUUCAGUUGUAAAGGCGCAGUAGCAGUAGCAAUAGAAGAAGAAGAAGGUGAAGAAGAAGCAAUCACGCAACAGCAGCAGCAGCAGCAGCAAGCAGCACAAGGAGCACCCAGGCAGCCACAAAGCGCAGAGGGAAAUGAGAUGAAGUGGUUUCAAGUGGCGUUGGAUAUGUUCCUUGUGCUUUCAUUUAUAACAAGCAGCACAUCGAAUCCCGAUGCUAAGCGCCUCUACGACGAUCUCCUCAGUAACUAUAACAAAUUGGUACGUCCCGUUGUCAAUGUGACUGACGCUGUAACUGUACGCAUCAAAUUGAAGCUAUCACAAUUGAUUGAUGUCAAUUUGAAAAAUCAAAUCAUGACAACCAAUUUGUGGGUGGAACAAACCUGGUAUGAUUACAAACUCCAAUGGGAGCCGAAAGAGUAUGGCGGUGUUGAAAUGUUGCAUGUACCCUCGGAUCAUAUAUGGCGGCCGGAUAUUGUGUUAUAUAAUAAUGCCGAUGGCAAUUUCGAAGUGACGCUGGCCACAAAAGCGACUCUCAACUACACGGGGCGCGUCGAGUGGCGGCCACCGGCGAUUUAUAAGAGCUCCUGCGAAAUCGAUGUCGAGUACUUCCCAUUCGACGAACAGACGUGUGUGAUGAAAUUCGGCAGUUGGACAUAUGAUGGAUUUCAGGUGGAUCUUCGGCAUAUCGACGAACUGAACGGCACAAAUGUUGUUGAAGUAGGUGUGGAUUUAUCAGAAUUUUACACAUCAGUCGAAUGGGACAUAUUGGAAGUUCCUGCAGUGCGCAAUGAAAAAUUCUACACAUGCUGCGAUGAACCUUAUCUGGAUAUAACAUUUAAUAUCACAAUGCGCCGUAAGACGCUCUUCUAUACCGUUAAUCUCAUUAUACCCUGUAUGGGUAUUAGUUUUUUAACAAUAUUAGUUUUUUAUCUGCCAUCGGACAGUGGCGAAAAGGUCUCAUUAAGCAUAUCCAUUUUACUCUCACUGACUGUGUUCUUUUUGUUGUUGGCCGAAAUUAUUCCACCAACAUCGUUAGUUGUGCCACUUUUAGGGAAAUUUGUGCUCUUCACAAUGAUACUGGACACGUUCAGCUUAUUGAAUAAUUCUGCUUGAACUCACCCUUUGUUGGUUCAUCUGCAAUGAAUUCUCUACUCAUGAUUUGCAAUGGAAAAGGUCGUACGCCCAUCAAUUUUGUCCUUUGCUUUGACUAGAGAAUGAAUGAAUGUGUGAAUGAGUGUACCAGGGCAUGCAUGGAGCACGCAGCAAUUUCCGAUACAUGUAAAAGAGAGCAAUGAAAAAAAUCUCUUCGAGUGCAGUACAUCAUCAAUUUCCCCGAAUAUAUGUGUGACGGUGGUAGUGCUCAAUAUACAUUUCCGCUCGCCACAGACGCACACCAUGGCGCCCUGGGUGCGAACGGUGUUCAUCAAUCAACUGCCUCG
Molecule: unclassified non-coding RNA, 3380 nt
Filed under: Ceratitis capitata (Mediterranean fruit fly)
Lineage: Eukaryota; Metazoa; Arthropoda; Insecta; Diptera; Tephritidae
Description: acetylcholine receptor subunit alpha-like, transcript variant X2
Source: RNAcentral